This 1732-nucleotide long non-coding RNA is filed under the name Sarcophilus harrisii (Tasmanian devil). RNAcentral describes it as "lncRNA (ENSSHAG00000028742.1)". The record is from RNAcentral. Lineage: Eukaryota; Metazoa; Chordata; Mammalia; Dasyuromorphia; Dasyuridae.
GGCUUUUUCAUUAAAGUCUUUAAUAGGUGUGCAAGAAUAGAAAUGAUCUCAGCUGUUAAGGGUUAGCGUACCAUCUUCUGCACAAGGAAAACGGGCUAGCAAAGAUCUGAACUAAGUAAUUAUACAAAACUACAAGAACAUAUUUACUGCUUUACAAUCAUUAAAUUAGCUAGAGUUUUCAUUUACUAUUUCAGAUAUGACAACUAUAGACCAUCUCAUUACCGGAUCCAUUUAUAAUAUAUUAGGACUUUUUUUUUUCUCAAACCACACAUUUAAUUACAUCCUUCAGUUUCUUUAAUAUAUAAAACAAGUACUUUAUAUAAAAAUUUCCCCUUCAUCAUAAACAAGAAUGUUAUUCAUACACUUGCACGUAAGCAACCAAACUCAUAACCAGCAAACUAUUUGGCAACACAGCAAUGUCGUAAAUGCCUUCAACUAGAAGAAACCGAGGCCAGCGGGGCUGUUGCUGGAGCCAGCAGGUCGUUCUCUUCCCACCCACAGCAGCGAAAUGAAUCCGAUGCUACUAGAAGUCCGAGUGGAGCAAACACACACACGCACACCAAAGGGAGGAUCCCCCUGAUCAGGGUCACCCCGCUCUCAGUCACACCGUGGCCUAACUAAAAUGUGUGCAGCUGGAAAAUGGAAGGAGCGGAUGAGUCACAACCAAGGGGGGAAGCGGGGACCGAGCCAGGCAGGAACGGCCCUCAUGGGAACAGCCCUGGGCUGGAUCCUGCCUUCCCCUGGGGAGCGAUUAGCACUGGCUCCAGCUCAGCUUCCGGGCCACCACGGAGACCCCCACGCUCAGACAGAUGGGGUCACUGCCCCAAAGGCUUGUGGGGGCUACAAACAGGCUUGUUAACCAAUGGUCAGUUGGGAAUUUGAGAGAAUAUUUUGGCAGUCUCAUCCUAGCACCUCAUGACUUGCUUGGAUGUGAAUCCGAGAGAUGUCAUGUUCAGCACCGAGUGUGAUGCUGUACCCUGAGAAACCUAUAUGUUAAUGCAAAGAGAGUGGAGGAAGGUCCAAGUGGGCCUGCACCUCGCACCUGCUGAGGUGUCCGUCUUUGGGCUUCCUGCACUGUUCCCUCUCCCCACCCUCCCAGAUCCAAGCCACACGACUCAUGGAACAAAAAGCUAGCACGGAGACCUCCAUAGCCCUGGCUACGGUCACCUGCAGCAGAGGCAGGUGGGGCUUUACAAGCCUUUGGAACAUUUUCUAUGGCAGUGGACACUUCCUUAAAAGAAGUGACCGGACUUUUCCAAAGCUGGACAAGAAAGCAUCGUGUUGACCACUGUGAAACUAACACUGACCCCAUCCCACUCCCCACCCCCACCCCUUUUUAAUUUUCCCGUUUCCAAAAGAGAAGGGAUUUAAUAGACAGAUUUCAAAUUGCCUAAUUUUUCAAGUGGUUCCCACUCCCCCGGGCCAUCUUGACAUAUAUAAAACCUAUGGUUGAGCUUCAUCAAGCAAUCCUUUCUUGUAAGCAGAAUGGUUAUUUAGUAAUAUACAUAUUCUCAAAGCAAAGAGAUUAUUAGAAGUAGGAGGUGUGCUUUAUCAGGAAAACGGGUUAUGUUUAUGGAUACUCUAGAUUUAAUAUUUAAACUUUUAAGGCUAGCUCCAUUAUACUUUUUCCCCCUAUUUUCUAAUUCGGAAUAUCAUAUUACUGAUAAAAAUAUUUUCCAAAAAUCUAAUACAUAACACAAGACAUGUAGGCACUGCUUAAGGAUUUUUCAGA